RNAcentral lists this ribosomal RNA (544 nucleotides) under uncultured Glomeromycotina. Its description in RNAcentral is "SSU rRNA". It matches the Rfam family "Eukaryotic small subunit ribosomal RNA", at positions 548 to 1098 of the family's 1831-position model. The record is from RNAcentral. Lineage: Eukaryota; Fungi; Glomeromycota.
UUGGAGGGCAAGUCUGGUGCCAGCAGCCGCGGUAAUUCCAGCUCCAAUAGCGUAUAUUAAAGUUGUUGCAGUUAAAAAGCUCGUAGUUGAAUUUCGGGGUUCUACCGUUGGUCGGGCUUUGUCUGUACUGGUGUGUAGAAUUUCUACCUUCUGGGGAACCAUCAUGCUAUUAAUUUAGCGUGGUGGGAAACCAGGACCUUUACCUUGAAAAAAUUAGUGUGUUCAAAGCAGGCUUAUGUCUGAAUACAUUAGCGUGGAAUAAUAGAAUAGGACGGUGGUCCUGUUUUGUUGGUUUCUGAAUCACCGUAAUGAUUAAUAGGGAUAGUUGGGGGCAUUAGUAUUCAAUUGUCAGAGGUGAAAUUCUUGGAUUUAUUGAAGACUAACUUCUGCGAAAGCAUUUGCCAAGGAUGUUUUCAUUAAUCAAGAACGAAAGUUAGGGGAUCGAAGACGAUCAGAUAUCGUCGUAGUCUUAACCAUAAACUAUGCCGACUAGGGAUCGGACGAUGUUAAUUUUUCUUGACUCGUUCGGCGCCUUACGGGAAAC